AUUGAACGCUGGCGGAAUGCUUUACACAUGCAAGUCGAACGGCAGCACGGACUUCGGUCUGGUGGCGAGUGGCGAACGGGUGAGUAAUAUAUCGGAACGUAUCCAAUAAUGGGGGAUAACUAAUCGAAAGGUUGGCUAAUACCGCAUACGUCCUACGGGAGAAAGCUAGGGACCUUCGGGCCUGGCGUUAAUGGAGCGGCCGAUAUCGGAUUAGCUAGUUGGUGAGGUAAAGGCUCACCAAGGCGACGAUCCGUAGCUGGUCUGAGAGGACGACCAGCCAAACGGGAACUGAGACACGGUCCAGACGCCUACGGGAGGCAGCGGUGGGGAAUUUUGGACAAGGGGCGAAAGCCUGAUCCAGCCAUUCGGGGUGAGUGAAGAAGGCCUUCGGGUUGUAAAGCUCUUUCGCAAGAGAAGAAAACUACCCCUCAAACAUGGGGUGAGUUUGACGGUAUCUUGAUAAGAAGCACCGGCUAACUACGUGCCAGCCGCCGCGGUAA
Molecule: ribosomal RNA, 500 nt
Filed under: uncultured bacterium
Lineage: Bacteria
Description: partial 16S ribosomal RNA
Rfam family: Bacterial small subunit ribosomal RNA
Source: RNAcentral